Molecule: ribosomal RNA, 325 nt
Filed under: uncultured eukaryote
Lineage: Eukaryota
Description: partial 18S ribosomal RNA
Rfam family: Eukaryotic small subunit ribosomal RNA
Source: RNAcentral
CCCUUAGAUGUCCUGGGCUGCACGCGCGCUACACUGAUGUGUCCAGUAAGCACCUAACCUCUUCCGAAAGGAACGGGUAACCUUUGCAAAGCACAUCGUGAUGGGGAUAGAUUAUUGCAAUUAUUAGUCUUGAACGAGGAAUUCCUAGUAAGCACAAGUCAUCAGCUUGUGUUGAUUACGUCCCUGCCCUUUGUACACACCGCCCGUCGCUCCUACCGAUUGAAUGGUCCGGUGAAUUAUUCGGACUGCAACGCGUUCAGCUUCUGGAUGCAGUUGCGGAAAGUUUUGUAAACCUUAUCACUUAGAGGAAGGAGAAGUCGUAACA